GAUGAACGCUGGCGGCGUGCCUAAUACAUGCAAGUCGAGCGAACGGACGCGAAGCUUGCUUCUCUGAUGUUAGCGGCGGACGGGUGAGUAACACGUGGAUAACCUACCUCUAAGACUGGGAUAACUUCGGGAAACCGGAGCUAAUCCCGGAUAAUAUUUUGAACCGCAUGGUUCAAAAGUGAAAGACGGUCUUGCUGUCACUUAUAGAUGUAUCCGCGCUGCAUUAGCUAGUUGGUAAGGUAACGGCUUACCAAGGCAACGAUGCAUAGCCGACCUGAGAGGGUGAUCGGCCACACUGGAACUGAGACACGGUCCAGACUCCUACGGGAGGCAGCAGUAGGGAAUCUUCCGCAAUGGGCGAAAGCCUGACGGAGCAACGCCGCGUGAGUGAUGAAGGUCUUCGGAUCGUAAAACUCUGUUAUUAGGGAAGAACAUAUGUGUAAGUAACUGUGCACAUCUUGACGGUACCUAAUCAGAAAGCCACGGCUAACUACGUG
Molecule: ribosomal RNA, 497 nt
Filed under: uncultured bacterium
Lineage: Bacteria
Description: partial 16S ribosomal RNA
Rfam family: Bacterial small subunit ribosomal RNA
Source: RNAcentral